RNAcentral lists this ribosomal RNA (254 nucleotides) under uncultured bacterium. RNAcentral's name for it is "partial 16S ribosomal RNA". It matches the Rfam family "Bacterial small subunit ribosomal RNA", at positions 524 to 776 of the family's 1533-position model. The record is from RNAcentral.
UACGGGGGAAGCAAGCGUUGUUCGGAUUUACUGGGCGUAAAGGGCGCGUAGGCGGUCAGCACAAGUCAGUUGUGAAAUCUCCGGGCUUAACUCGGAAAGGUCAACUGAUACUGUGCGACUAGAGUGCAGAAGGGGCAACUGGAAUUCUCGGUGUAGCGGUGAAAUGCGUAGAUAUCGAGAGGAACACCUGCGGCGAAGGCGGGUUGCUGGGCUGACACUGACGCUGAUGCGCGAAAGCCAGGGGAGCGAACGGG